AUUGAACGCUGGCGGCAUGCCUUACACAUGCAAGUCGAACGGCAGCACGGGUGCUUGCACCUGGUGGCGAGUGGCGAACGGGUGAGUAAUACAUCGGAACAUGUCCUGUAGUGGGGGAUAGCCCGGCGAAAGCCGGAUUAAUACCGCAUACGAUCUACGGAUGAAAGCGGGGGACCUUCGGGCCUCGCGCUAUAGGGUUGGCCGAUGGCUGAUUAGCUAGUUGGUGGGGUAAAGGCCUACCAAGGCGACGAUCAGUAGCUGGUCUGAGAGGACGACCAGCCACCCUGGGACUGAGACACGGCCCAGACUCCUACGGGAGGCAGCAGUGGGGAAUUUUGGACAAUGGGCGAAAGCCUGAUCCAGCAAUGCCGCGUGUGUGAAGAAGGCCUUCGGGUUGUAAAGCACUUUUGUCCGGAAAGAAAUCCUUUGCCCUAAUACGGUCGGGGGAUGACGGUACCGGAAGAAUAAGCACCGGCUAACUACGUG
RNAcentral lists this ribosomal RNA (486 nucleotides) under uncultured bacterium. Its description in RNAcentral is "partial 16S ribosomal RNA". It matches the Rfam family "Bacterial small subunit ribosomal RNA", at positions 30 to 507 of the family's 1533-position model. The record is from RNAcentral.